CCUGUUGCAUGUUCCACGUCUGUCGCUAAAUUUUGUGUGGGUGUGUCAACUCUUCAAUUUAUUUGAAAGACAUGUGACUAUUUAUGUUGGAUAACUUCACGAAAAGGAUGACUACUGCGUUUACCCCUGCUCUAAGUUGGCCCGGAUCUACAAUAGGUUGGUGGAUUUAGAUACAGCGGACUGAACUUUGGAAAUUGUGAUAACAAUAUGAUAUCUUAUUUAGAUGAUUCACUUCAGAGAUACAGCGGUCACCGUAAAAAAAAAUUAUUCAAUACUCCUCAAAGUUACCAAAUAUGAAAAAAAUAUUUUAAUAUUUUUUUAGGGCUCCUAACUUGAUGUAACCUCUUAAUUAUAUUUUUAAUAGGUUGCUUCUUAAACAUAAUUCUAGAAAAAAGUAAUACCCAUGAAAAUUGCUAUUGAUUAAACUUUCAAUGGAUAAAAAUUUAGUUUCAAAUAAAAAAACUAUAUAUUUUGCAAAGAAACUCUGAUACUCAUAGUUCUGAGGCGAGGGUAUGAAGGCAAAAAGAAAAAAAAUAGAUAAAUAUAAAUGUGAUCAUUGAAAAUCUUAGUAGAAAGAGAAAGUUAGAAAGAGUAUAUGUUAUAUAUAUUAUAGAUUUAUGAUAGUAGUGGUUAUUUCCGGUUAUAUUUUCUGGAUGAAAAAUAUAAAAGAAGGACCAGACUUCGUAGAUAUUUUUUAAUCACAAGAAACGAUAUAUGCAACGUAUUCGAAACAUAUGAAAAAGCACUACCAUUCGCAAGAUGACUGAAGUCUAUGAUAGCUCUAAUGGAACUGCUGAAUAUAUUAGAAGCCAAACAUCAUCAUAUCCAUCAUAAAUAACAGAAAAAUGCGCGUAAACUGAACUUAAUCGUCAAAUUGUAAAAAUAUUUAAGUGCAGAAAAGCUGAAGUUACUGUCGCCCUGGAAAACGUAUAAUAAUCACAAGUAGUUACUAACAACCAUUGAAAUGUUGUUUAGGGGAGGAUUUUGGGAUUACAUCACUACAACAUUUUGUAUAUAUAUUUUGAUGACAUCACUAGACUUAGUAUGAUGCUCAGUGAAGAUGGGAAUAAAAGUAAGCUAUGUAUCUCUACAUAUUUACAAAUAUACAUACACAUAUCUAUGUAUGUAUAUAUGUUUUUGGACUUACGAAAAUAUUGAACAUGUUCAUCUCACAUCGAGGGAUAAAGAAUAGUUGGACAGUAUGAUUUCAUAUGAGAAACCUUAAAUGUUAACCCACGUUCUUCUUUAGUUUACAGUACCAGAGAAUUGGAUGCAGAAUCAAAGUACCCAUGAAUAACAAAAACAAAAGAGAAAUUAGUUUUAAUAAUAAAU
Molecule: long non-coding RNA, 1332 nt
Organism: Zeugodacus cucurbitae (melon fly)
Lineage: Eukaryota; Metazoa; Arthropoda; Insecta; Diptera; Tephritidae
Exons: 3
Source: RefSeq, a predicted model, not a curated record